UGGAUCCUACGGGACGCAGCAGUAGGGAAUCUUCCACAACGGGCGAAAGCCUGAUGGAGCGACGCCGCGUGGGUGAAGAAGGUCUUCGGAUCGUAAAACCCUGUUGUUAGAGAAGAAAGUGCGUGAGAGUAACUGUUCACGUUUCGACGGUAUCUAACCAGAAAGCCACGGCUAACUACGUGCCAGCAGCCGCGGUAAUACGUAGGUGGCAAGCGUUAUCCGGAUUUAUUGGGCGUAAAGGGAACGCAGGCGGUCUUUUAAGUCUGAUGUGAAAGCCUUCGGCUUAACCGGAGUAGUGCAUUAGA
Molecule: ribosomal RNA, 305 nt
Filed under: uncultured bacterium
Lineage: Bacteria
Description: bacterial SSU rRNA
Rfam family: Bacterial small subunit ribosomal RNA
Source: RNAcentral